This is a long non-coding RNA of Mya arenaria, 2298 nucleotides long. RefSeq lists it as uncharacterized. The record is from RefSeq and is a predicted model, not a curated record. NCBI's taxonomy places the organism in Eukaryota, Metazoa, Mollusca, Bivalvia, Myida, Myidae. The transcript is spliced from 3 exons.
CAAGCGCUUAAGGCUAACGUCCACUAAUUAUUUCUAGAUUUUCAUCUGUCUCUCAAACAGGGUCGACGUUAUAUUCUAUACACGCUCACGGUCUGACCAUUGGAAUCUAUACAGCCUUAAAUUUUUCCGUAAAGUAAACCAUGAAACUGUUGACUGCGACCAUUUCAACUUGUUCUAUUUCCGGAUAACACUUUAAGCUCCCGUUUUAGUAUAAUAACUCUUUUAAGGGAUUAUAACUUGUCGACAUGGAUAAACAGCCUCAAGUCAACUUUGUAAGUGCUCCAUCACCAUGAUUUGUCGCUGUGGUAUGAAAGGAUUGGGAUCAAGUAUGCUAACAGUAAAAGAUAUAUGAUUUUACUUUGACGUUUGAAAUAUCAAAGACGAAUAUUUGAAUGUUAUUUUAUGUAUGUUUGGUUCAUAAUGGUACUUUGUCAAGUGUUAGACCCACAAACCUUCUUCAAAGUUGAAGUCACUAUUGCAGUUAAUUGUUACCACAACCCAGGUCUGGGGAAUAGUGGGGACUUUGACUUUCGGUCCAGCCUAUCCAAGGUAAAAUUCCGCCCUGCAGCGAAGAACUAAUGGUCAAACCAAAUCAAAUGCUCCCACAUCCCGGGAACCCUAGGUAAGGUCCAUUCCAGCUAUAUUUUGCGCGAAGAUAAAACCACAAUACUCACCCGGCACUGCCAGGCCAUCUGGAAGGUAAAAACAUGGCCCAUUUCCCUGACUGCAUGUAUCCCUGGACUGGGUCGGGGCGUGGUUACAAAUGAAUGGUGCAUAACAUUCUAAAUGCAAUGUCAGAUUCACAUUGAGAGAAUUGCUACCAUUUGUCCAAAUAUUAUUUUCAUCAAUUGUGGCAAUGAAAGCAGAUAGAUCAGAUAUAAUGCACAGUAAAGAUUUUCCUUUUCUUUUUGUAAUAUAUCUUGAAGAAUAUCAAAGACUGUGGGAACUGAAAGGUUUUAUACCAAGACUUACAGUCAUAGUUGAUAAUGACAAAGUUAUCAAGUAUUGCAUUAUUCAAAUAUAAUUUCAGGUUAUGCAGGUUGUUGAGAGCAAUUAAUAUGAUGAGGGAAGGCAGGAAAGAGUACCAGUCUUAUAGUCUGUAUGUACUCGUGGCAAAAUGGUGUUCGAGCGUUGGCGAAUAAGGAUUUGCUUGCAGCGUUGAAGAACGAUAAUAUGCAAAGAACAGAAAGAAAGGUUCUCUUAACAUAGAAAGUAAAGAAAUAAUGAAGUUCACACUACAGUUGACAAUAUGGAUGUGUUUCCUUUGUUAUUUGAACAUGAUUUAUUUUAACUUACAUAACAAGUAUGCACUACAAUAAUGAAUAUCUAUAUUAAUAGUAAUGAUAUUCCAUUAAACAUGGAUAUGGAAAAAAUAUUCUUUGACAGUGCAAGAUAAGAUAAAUCCAGACAUAGUUUCAUCCACAUACUUGAAAUUUGUCUUGUAACUACAUGUAUUUUUAUGAGGUUAAGUGGUGAGUAAUCAACUUUUAUAAAGUAAAAUUCUAAAGUACCCGCCAACGUUGGUCGUCCCCGCAUAUCUGUCAAUAAUAGACCAGGGCAUGUUAAACUAUAGGCGGUAUUUCUCUUGGCUCGUUGAACAUAUCGUUAUAAGAAACUUAAUAUUUUUCAUUAUCUGAUUUUUAGAAAAAACAAUGUACUUUUCUCUGUUCGAACGACAUGAAGGCAAACAGCCAACGGUUGUCCGUGACACAAAUAAAUAUCACGCUCUGAUAGAAUGCAGUUAAAUUAUAGACCGAAAAUCUGAAAUAAAUACAGCUUCAAACUCAACUUAUUACAAAAGGUCUUAUAAGGUAAACGGCAUCUUACAUGUAAACAAAUAAAGAACUCGGAUAUGUUGAACAUUUGAAGCGUGGUAGUUUACAUGGCUCUUUUAUCAAUACCAUAAAAACACAAGAAACUUGAUAGUUUUCCUUUGUGCGACUAUACGAAAUCUAUUUAUAUGUUAGAGUUCGAUUUGGUGAUUUACAGAAAAUGGAACGAGUACAGCGAGGCCAAUGUUUAAAUCAUAACAAGAAACUUGAUAGUUUUCCUUUGUGCGAUUAUAAGAAAUCUAUUUAUAUGAUAGAGUUCGAUUUGGUGAUUUACAGAAAAUGGAACGAGCACAGCGAGGUCAAUGUUUAAAUCAUAACAAGUAUCUUGACAGUUUUCCUUUGUGCGAUUUUAAGAAAUCUAUUUAUAUGAUAGAGUUCGAUUUGAUGAUUUACAGAAAAUGGAACGAGCACAGCGAGGUCAAUGUUUAAAUCAUAACAAGAAACUUGAUAGUUUUCCUUUGUGCGA